CCUACGGGAGGCAGCAGUGGGGAAUAUUGGGCAAUGGAGGAAACUCUGACCCAGCAACGCCGCGUGAAUGAUGAAGGUCUUCGGUUUGUAAAGUUCUUUUCUAAGGGUAGAAGAAAGUGACGGUACUUUAGGAAUAAGCCUCGGAUAACUACGUGCCAGCAGCAGCGGUAAUACGUAGGAGGCGAGCGUUAUCCGGAUUGAAUGGGCGUAAAGGGUGCGUAGGUGGUGUGGCAAGUUAGUAGCGAAACUCACAGGCUCAACCUUGGAACUACUACUAAAACUGUUGGACUUGAGUGCAGGAGGGGCAACCGGAAUGCCUAGUGUAGCGGUGGAAUGCGUAGAUAUUAGGAGGAACACCAGUGGCGAAGGCGGGUUGAUAGACUGUAACUGACACUGAGGCACGAAAGCGUGGGGAGCAAACAGGAUUAGAUACCCUUGUAGUC
This 443-nucleotide ribosomal RNA is filed under the name uncultured bacterium. RNAcentral describes it as "partial 16S ribosomal RNA". It matches the Rfam family "Bacterial small subunit ribosomal RNA", at positions 338 to 795 of the family's 1533-position model. The record is from RNAcentral.